Molecule: ribosomal RNA, 746 nt
Filed under: uncultured Pseudomonadales bacterium
Lineage: Bacteria; Pseudomonadati; Pseudomonadota; Gammaproteobacteria; Pseudomonadales
Description: bacterial SSU rRNA
Rfam family: Bacterial small subunit ribosomal RNA
Source: RNAcentral
AUUGAACGCUGGCGGCAGGCCUAACACAUGCAAGUCGAGCGGAUGAGAAGAGCUUGCUCUUCGAUUCAGCGGCGGACGGGUGAGUAAUGCCUAGGAAUCUGCCUGGUAGUGGGGGACAACGUUUCGAAAGGAACGCUAAUACCGCAUACGUCCUACGGGAGAAAGCAGGGGACCUUCGGGCCUUGCGCUAUCAGAUGAGCCUAGGUCGGAUUAGCUAGUUGGUGAGGUAAUGGCUCACCAAGGCGACGAUCCGUAACUGGUCUGAGAGGAUGAUCAGUCACACUGGAACUGAGACACGGUCCAGACUCCUACGGGAGGCAGCAGUGGGGAAUAUUGGACAAUGGGCGAAAGCCUGAUCCAGCCAUGCCGCGUGUGUGAAGAAGGUCUUCGGAUUGUAAAGCACUUUAAGUUGGGAGGAAGGGCAUUAACCUAAUACGUUAGUGUUUUGACGUUACCGACAGAAUAAGCACCGGCUAACUCUGUGCCAGCAGCCGCGGUAAUACAGAGGGUGCAAGCGUUAAUCGGAAUUACUGGGCGUAAAGCGCGCGUAGGUGGUUUGUUAAGUUGAAUGUGAAAGCCCCGGGCUCAACCUGGGAACUGCAUCCAAAACUGGCAAGCUAGAGUACGGUAGAGGGUGGUGGAAUUUCCUGUGUAGCGGUGAAAUGCGUAGAUAUAGGAAGGAACACCAGUGGCGAAGGCGACCACCUGGACUGAUACUGACACUGAGGUGCGAAAGCGUGGGGAGC